CCAGUCUUGAGGUGUAGGAGAAGGCCAUCAGGCUGUUUAAUUCAAGAAAUGCCAAAUGGCUACUCAAAGGUAAUCUGGGUUGAGCAUGUUGAAAUAGAUGAUAGGUCUGUCCACAACAUAUACAAACAACUUGUUAACUCAGGUCUAGCAUUUGGUGCCAAACGGUGGGUUGCGACUUUGGACCGCCAAUGUGAGCGCCUUGCCAGUGUGAUGGCAAGCAGCAUUCCCUCAGGUGAUAUAGGUGUGAUAACAAAUACAGAUGGAAGAAAAAGCAUGCUGAAGCUAGCUGAGAGGAUGGCGAUGAGCUUCUGCGGUGGAGUGACGGCCUCGACAACGCAUCAGUGGACUACUCUAUCUGGAAGUGGGGCUGAAGAUGUGAGGGUUAUGACGAGGAAGAGCAUAGAUGAUCCCGGUAGGCCUCCUGGAAUUGUUCUCAAUGCGGCUACUUCAUUCUGGCUGCCGGUUUCCCCAAAGAGAGUCUUUGAUUUCCUCCGAGAUGAGAGCUCAAGAAGCGAGUGGGAUAUCCUCUCUAAUGGGGGAGUUGUUCAGGAGAUGGCUCACAUAGCAAAUGGCCGAGAUCAUGGCAACUGUGUUUCUCUUCUCCGUGUGAAUAGCACGAACUCGAACCAAAGCAACAUGCUGAUACUGCAAGAGACCUGCACGGACUCUACUGGGUCCUAUGUGAUCUAUGCUCCCGUGGAUGUUGUUGCUAUGAAUGUGGUGCUGAAUGGCGGUGACCCAGACUAUGUCGCGCUCUUGCCCUCAGGUUUUGCCAUACUCCCUGACGGACCGUCUGCCUUACAGCAAGGUGGUAGCAGU
This 819-nucleotide unclassified non-coding RNA is filed under the name Hevea brasiliensis (rubber tree). Lineage: Eukaryota; Viridiplantae; Streptophyta; Magnoliopsida; Malpighiales; Euphorbiaceae. The record is from RNAcentral.